Molecule: ribosomal RNA, 246 nt
Filed under: uncultured bacterium
Lineage: Bacteria
Description: partial 16S ribosomal RNA
Rfam family: Bacterial small subunit ribosomal RNA
Source: RNAcentral
AAUCAACGCUGGCGGCGUGCCUAACACAUGCAAGUCGAACGCGAAAGCCCGCAAGGGUAAGUAGAGUGGCGCACGGGUGAGUAACACGUGGACAACCUGCCUUCGAGUGGGGAAUAACCUUCCGAAGGAGGGCUAAUACCGCAUAACACCUCGGGACACAAGUUCUGGGGUUGGAAAAGAAGCAAUUUGCUCGAAGAGGGGUCCGGCGCCUGAUUAGCUAGUUGGUGAGGUAACGGCUCACCAAGG